Molecule: long non-coding RNA, 219 nt
Filed under: Numida meleagris (helmeted guineafowl)
Lineage: Eukaryota; Metazoa; Chordata; Aves; Galliformes; Numididae
Description: lncRNA (ENSNMEG00000013955.1)
Source: RNAcentral
GAAUCCACCUUAAGAAUUAAAAAUGACAUAGCUGUUCAAAGCAGGCUGCUGCAUGCUCUGAUGCCUGGCCAGGGACCUGACUGUGGAGAAACGGAGACCUUUUCCUCUUCCUUUGUAGACAGAACAAUCACAUGCUUAAGCACUCACAGCUGUCCUGCAAGCAGAUGGACACCAGCUGAUUCUAGAGGAGAUAUCAGACUGGGAUACUGUAGAACUUAA